AACGCGAAGAACCUUACCUGGGCUUGACAUCCUGUGAACAUCUAAGAGAUUAGGUUUCCGAGCAAUCGGACACAGAGACAGGUGCUGCAUGGCUGUCGUCAGCUCGUGUCGUGAGAUGUUGGGUUAAGUCCCGCAACGAGCGCAACCCUUAUCCCUAGUUGCCAUCGGGUCAAGCCGGGCACUCUAGUGAAACCGCGCGGGAUAACCGCGAGGAAGGUGGGGAUGACGUCAAGUCCUCAUGGCCUUUAUGUCCAGGGCUACACACGUGCUACAAUGGUCGGUACAAACCGUCGCAAACCCGCGAGGGGGAGCUAAUCGGAAAAAGCCGGCCUCAGUUCGGAUUGGAGUCUGCAACCCGACUCCAUGAAGCUGGAAUCGCUAGUAAUCGCGGAUCAGAACGCCGCGGUGAAUACGUUCCCGGGCCUUGUACACACCGCAUAC
This 441-nucleotide ribosomal RNA is filed under the name uncultured bacterium. Its description in RNAcentral is "bacterial SSU rRNA". It matches the Rfam family "Bacterial small subunit ribosomal RNA", at positions 958 to 1397 of the family's 1533-position model. The record is from RNAcentral.